GUCCCAAACCCAAUGUGAACGUUACCAAACUGUUGCCUCGGCGGGAUCUCUGCCCCGGGUGCKUYGCAGCCCCGGACCAAGGCGCCCGCCGGAGGACCAACCAAAACUCUUAUUGUAUACCCCCUCGCGGGUUUUUUUAUAAUCUGAGCCUUCUCGGCGCCUCUCGUAGGCGUUUCGAAAAUGAAUCAAAACUUUCAACAACGGAUCUCUUGGUUCUGGCAUCGAUGAAGAACGCAGCGAAAUGCGAUAAGUAAUGUGAAUUGCAGAAUUCAGUGAAUCAUCGAAUCUUUGAACGCACAUUGCGCCCGCCAGUAUUCUGGCGGGCAUGCCUGUCCGAGCGUCAUUUCAACCCUCGAACCCCUCCGGGGGGUCGGCGUUGGGGAUCGGCCCUGCCUUGGCGGUGGCCGUCUCCGAAAUACAGUGGCGGUCUCGCCGCAGCCUCUCCUGCGCAGUAGUUUGCACACUCGCAUCGGGAGCGCGGCGCGUCCACAGCCGUUAAACACCCAACUUCUGAAAUGUUGACCUCGGAUCAGGUAGGAAUACCCGCUGAACUUAAGCAUAUCAAUAAGCCGRAGGAA
RNAcentral lists this ribosomal RNA (578 nucleotides) under Trichoderma sp. PPRI 14680. RNAcentral describes it as "eukaryotic LSU rRNA". Lineage: Eukaryota; Fungi; Ascomycota; Sordariomycetes; Hypocreales; Hypocreaceae. The record is from RNAcentral.